AUACAUGCAAGUCGGACGGGAUUGAAGAGCUUGCUUUUCAUGAGAGUGGCGCACGGGUGCGUAACACGUAUGUAACCUACCUUUAUCAGGGGGAUAGCCUCUCGAAAGAGAGAUUAAGCCCGCAUAAAAUCACAGAGCAGCAUUGCUUAAUGAUCAAAUAUUUAUAGGAUAAAGAUGGGCAUGCGGAACAUUAGCUAGAUGGCGGGGUAACGGCCCACCAUGGCCACGAUGUUUAGGGGAUCUGAGAGGAUGGCCCCCCACACUGGUACUGAGACACGGACCAGACUCCUACGGGAGGCAGCAGUAAGGAAUAUUGGUCAAUGGGCGGAAGCCUGAACCAGCCAUGCCGCGUGCAGGAAGACGGCCCUACGGGUUGUAAACUGCUUUUAUACGGGAAUAAACCUUGAUACGUGUAUCAAGCUGAAUGUACUGUAAGAAUAAGGAUCGGCUAACUCCGUGCCAGCAGCCGCGGUAAUACGGAGGAUCCAAGCGUUAUCCGGAUUUAUUGGGUUUAAAGGGUGCGUAGGCGGCUUGUUAAGUCAGAGGUGAAAGGCGGUAGCUUAACUAUCGGAGUGCCUUUGAUACUGAUGAGCUUGAAUGCAGCUGAGGUAGGCGGAACGUGACAAGUAGCGGUGAAAUGCAUAGAUAUGUCACAGAACACCGAUUGCGAAGGCAGCUUACUAAAGUGUGAUUGACGCUGAGGCACGAAAGCGUGGGGAUCAAACAGGAUUAGAUACCCUGGUAGUCCACGCCCUAAACGAUGAACACUCGAUGUUGGCGAUAUACGGUCAGCGUCUAAGCGAAAGCGUUAAGUAUUCCACCUGGGGAGUACGCCCGCAAGGGUGAAACUCAAAGGAAUUGACGGGGGCCCGCACAAGCGGAGGAGCAUGUGGUUUAAUUCGAUGAUACGCGAGGAACCUUACCCGGGCUUGAAAGUUAGUGAAUGAGACAGA
This 953-nucleotide ribosomal RNA is filed under the name uncultured bacterium. RNAcentral's name for it is "bacterial SSU rRNA". It matches the Rfam family "Bacterial small subunit ribosomal RNA", at positions 51 to 1004 of the family's 1533-position model. The record is from RNAcentral.